UACGGAGGGAGCUAGCGUUGUUCGGAAUCACUGGGCGUAAAGCGCGCGUAGGUGGAUAAGUAAGUCAGGGGUGAAAGCCCAGAGCUCAACUCUGGAAUGGCCCUUGAUACUGCUUGUCUUGAGUGUGGGAGAGGUAAGUGGAAUUCCGAGUGUAGAGGUGAAAUUCGUAGAUAUUCGGAGGAACACCAGUGGCGAAGGCGGCUUACUGGCCCAAUACUGACACUGAGGCGCGAAAGCGUGGGGAGCAAACAGG
This 253-nucleotide ribosomal RNA is filed under the name uncultured bacterium. RNAcentral's name for it is "partial 16S ribosomal RNA". It matches the Rfam family "Bacterial small subunit ribosomal RNA", at positions 524 to 776 of the family's 1533-position model. The record is from RNAcentral.